CCGACCCGGAGCUCUCCUUCCCCUCAGCCUUGUCUUUUCCUCUCCUCCUCCUCCGUCCCCACCUCCGAGCAGCUCGACAGAGUCUAUAUCUUGCCCUGCUGCCGACCGGUAUUCCAACCUUUUAUUCAUCUCCAACGUCUCGGUGACCAUCUGCACUCCAAGUACCGGGCAUAUCAUUUCUAUAGAAAGGACAAUAGACCUCUGAAGCUGCAUCCCAAGCUGGAGAAGUUGCUUAAGGAAGAGUUUUGCUCCCUGGACGACUUCAGAGCCAAGUCAAAAGCAACGAAGAUUGUAGUUAUAGUGCUAAUGGUGCUUCCAAAGAUUAGACAGACAGCAGCGAGUCUCCAGCUUUAGCUAAAGCUGUUGCUGCUACUGCUACCAGUUCGUUGAAGAUGGGAUACUGAUGGAAGUUGAGAAGGGUGGGGGUCUCAAUUUUGGACUGUUGUGAUGUUUUUAUCCAAUUCUUUUCUAUAAGUCCUCUGAUGAUGAUGAUGAUGAUUUGAGUUGAAUGGGUGGCUUUGAAUUAUUUUUUUGCUUCGGAGUUGUUGGUUCACCUCGGCUUCAUUGUACAUAAGAAUAAUGAUGGAAUGAAUUAUCAAAAUUGAUAAAUAACAGAUUGGAAUUAAAUCUGUUUCAUUUUUUAA
This is a long non-coding RNA of Nymphaea colorata (pocket water lily), 644 nucleotides long. RefSeq lists it as uncharacterized. The record is from RefSeq and is a predicted model, not a curated record. NCBI's taxonomy places the organism in Eukaryota, Viridiplantae, Streptophyta, Magnoliopsida, Nymphaeales, Nymphaeaceae. The transcript has 2 exons.